RNAcentral lists this ribosomal RNA (253 nucleotides) under uncultured bacterium. Its description in RNAcentral is "partial 16S ribosomal RNA". It matches the Rfam family "Bacterial small subunit ribosomal RNA", at positions 524 to 776 of the family's 1533-position model. The record is from RNAcentral.
GACGGAGGGUGCGAGCGUUAUUCGGAAUCAUUGGGCGUAAAGAGUGUGUAGGCGGCCGGUUAAGUCAGGCGUGAAAGCCCAGGGCUCAACCCUGGAAGUGCGUUUGAAACUGGCUGGCUUGAGUUCGGGAGAGGGAAGCGGAAUUCCUGGUGUAGAGGUGAAAUUCGUAGAUAUCAGGAGGAACAUCGGUGGCGAAGGCGGCUUCCUGGACCGAAACUGACGCUGAGAAACGAAAGCGUGGGGAGCAAACAGG